This 547-nucleotide ribosomal RNA is filed under the name uncultured fungus. RNAcentral describes it as "eukaryotic LSU rRNA". The stretch from base 199 to 352 matches the Rfam family "5.8S ribosomal RNA". The record is from RNAcentral. Lineage: Eukaryota; Fungi.
GUCUCCGUAGGUGAACCUGCGGAGGGAUCAUUACACAAAUAUGAAGGCGGGCUGGAACCUCUCGGGGUUACAGCCUUGCUGAAUUAUUCACCCUUGUCUUUUGCGUACUUCUUGUUUCCUUGGUGGGUUCGUCCACCACUAGGACAAACAUAAACCUUUUGUAAUUGCAAUCAGCGUCAGUAACAAAUUAAUAAUUACAACUUUCAACAACGGAUCUCUUGGUUCUGGCAUCGAUGAAGAACGCAGCGAAAUGCGAUAAGUAGUGUGAAUUGCAGAAUUCAGUGAAUCAUCGAAUCUUUGAACGCACAUUGCGCCCUUUGGUAUUCCAAAGGGCAUGCCUGUUCGAGCGUCAUUUGUACCCUCAAGCUUUGCUUGGUGUUGGGCGUCUUGUCUCUAGCUUUGCUGGAGACUCGCCUUAAAGUAAUUGGCAGCCGGCCUACUGGUUUCGGAGCGCAGCACAAGUCGCACUCUUUAUCAGCAAAGGUCUAGCAUCCAUUAAGCCUUUUUUUCAACUUUUGACCUCGGAUCAGGUAGGGAUACCCGCUGA